UACAGAGGGGGCAAGCGUUAUUCGGAAUUAUUGGGCGUAAAGGGCGCGUAGGCGGCUUGGCAAGUGGAAGGUGAAAUCCCUCGGCUCAACUGAGGAACUGCCUUCCAGACUGCUUUGCUUGAGUCCGGGAGAGGUGAGUGGAAUUCCCAGUGUAGCGGUGAAAUGCGUAGAUAUUGGGAGGAACACCAGUGGCGAAGGCGGCUCACUGGACCGGAACUGACGCUCAUGCACGAAAGCGUGGGGAGCAAACAGG
This 253-nucleotide ribosomal RNA is filed under the name uncultured bacterium. RNAcentral describes it as "partial 16S ribosomal RNA". It matches the Rfam family "Bacterial small subunit ribosomal RNA", at positions 524 to 776 of the family's 1533-position model. The record is from RNAcentral.